RNAcentral lists this transfer RNA (77 nucleotides) under Marinobacter sp. LV10R510-11A. RNAcentral describes it as "tRNA_Val_GAC". It matches the Rfam family "tRNA". Rfam says of the family: Transfer RNA (tRNA) molecules are approximately 80 nucleotides in length. Their secondary structure includes four short double-helical elements and three loops (D, anti-codon, and T loops). The record is from RNAcentral. RNAcentral also lists the same sequence under 1 other name. Lineage: Bacteria; Pseudomonadati; Pseudomonadota; Gammaproteobacteria; Pseudomonadales; Marinobacteraceae.
AGGACCAUAGCUCAGUUGGUUAGAGCGCUGCCUUGACAUGGCAGAGGUCCCCAGUUCGAAUCUGGGUGGUCCUACCA